This 2534-nucleotide long non-coding RNA is filed under the name Bemisia tabaci. Its description in RNAcentral is "lncRNA ENSSWEETPG002993". Lineage: Eukaryota; Metazoa; Arthropoda; Insecta; Hemiptera; Aleyrodidae. The record is from RNAcentral.
AUUGGCUCGAGGGAAACUUUAAUUUGUAUGUAACCAACCCUUGUGCAACCUGUUGAUGAAGAACCUAUUUUUGCCCACAGGACCACAAACAAUUCGUGAGACUUACGAGGAUUCCACCUCAAAAUACAUUCAAGCGACACACGAGUUGACUGCAGCAUAUCAGGAACAUACCGCGGCUCUCAAAGAACAGACUGAGGCCCUGAAGGCACACACAGAAGCUAUGUUGGGACUCAAAGAUUUCUUGCCAUCUAUGACUGAAGCUGUACAAACUGUCGGAGAAAAUUUACCCUCUGCAAUUUUACAACUUGCAUAUGCAAUGAAAGCAGGCAAUGCCUCAGGCCGUAAGGAUCGAGUACUGCAGGAAAUGAACAACAAUAUGGGAAAUUUUAUGUAAAUAUUUGUAUUACCUCAUUGAGAAAACCUUGGUUUUAAAGAAAGGUCCUCAUGAGGCAGCAUUUGAUAUCUGAAGAUGUUCUUCCACUUCUGUUAAAAUUUAUCGUAACUUUGCAGUCUAUUUUUAUCGGGGUGCAAUUAAGGAGCAAUAUUUUUAUGUUAGUCUGAUGUAAAGUCUGUAGAAAUGUUAAUGUGAUUUUUAUAGAGAGAUUAAUUUAGUAAUUUUUAUUCUGCUGUAUUUAAAUUGUAUCCUUGCUCUCUAGAAAAUGUUGUUAUUGUCUACUGAAGUUGCUAAAACUGUAUUCUCUUAUCGAGUGCCAGUUAUUCUGACUGAAAAUGUACAAACUGCAGCCGCUCAGAUGUUCCUGGGCUUUAAAGUGUUUAAUCCCGCACCAAAGUUUUGGUCAAACUGGUAUGUGAUUCAUCAAAUUGACUAUGUCAACUCAAACGGCGAACUUUUAUUUUCUCCCUUAAAACGACGGAAACCCCUCCAUGUUUGGUAAACAAGUAUUUCCAACAUUACAGAAUAGAAAAUUUGUCGAAAUAAUAGCCGCUGAACUCGGAGGAGCUUCAAGUAUUGCAAGUGAUGUGGUAUUGAAGGUUGCAUGGAUUGGAAAAGUUCCUUCCAACGUAAAUCCUUCCUUUAUUAUCUACUUUCUUUUCUGACAUGCAACUUUGUACGCUAACCAAGAUGGGGUUUCGUUCUUUGUUUCAUAAACUGAUGGGAAGUUUGUGGGGGAUAUUGUCCUUAUCUCCACUGUACAUGACAUGCCACAUUGGCCAUAACUGCGGAGCGGUAUGCAUCGCCUUUCCCUUUUUUUUUGACUGAUUAAUUAUUUAGAGUAAUUAGAAUUUUGCUACUACAGUAUUUGUACCCACUGGCUUCGACUUCCUCACCAUAUGAAUUACUUUCCUCAUUCGUAAUUCAUCAGAGUGUCAGAUUUUGUCUUAAUGUUUAUUGUUCUUCAUUACUAAGCAUUUAAGCUUUACACUUGAGUUUCUUAUAGUCUUUAAUUUUAAAACUUUCUCUGUUAAGUUUUGUAGCCUUUAUUUCGGUUGUUGCAGCUGUUAGUCUGGCUGUUGAGCUUUCACUGUAGAGGGACACCUGCCUCAUUUCAGCACUCUUUUCGUUACGAUUCUGAAGAACGUACAGUAAGUCAUUGUAAUUAAGAUCUGAAUAACUGGAAAUAUCCUUGUGCAACAAUUAACUUUUGUCCAAUGGACACACUUACCUUUCAUAUCUACUCCUUAGAUGUAUUUCAUUACUUUAUUUCAUUUAUACCCGGGUUUCUGAUUUCGAACCAACUAAACUGCUUACCUAUUGCGAGUAUUGUGAUCAUUUCGGGGCAUUUAACAUGUCAAGCCACCUUUCAUCCUAAAUGACAAUGCAUCCAAUGGCUUUUUUAUUUUAAAAUUGCUAGGAGGCAUUAAUAAAAAAUUCGUGAAUGACAGAACAUUGUUCUCUGUAUGUUGCACUACAUUUCUCAUCUCCAUAGUGGUUCUUCUCCUCUACAUUAACAUGUGUUCUUAUGAAAUUUAGGAAAUGUGAAAAGUGAAUACACUAGCUUCCAUCGUAUGCGAUUUAUUUCUUACUUGUUAGGUGAACCUCUAUUAUUACCUCCGUAUGAGCAUCUCUUAGUUCCGGUUUUUUCCAAGUUAAUUUUUUUAUUUUAGAAGUUUUUAAAUUUAUUUUCGUUUUUAAGUCAAUGUUUUUAUCGUGUAAUUCUUAACCAGCUAAGUUGCUAAUAUUUGGUUUCAGAUCAAACCUGUGCAAUGCUUCAUGACAUUUGUGCUUGCCUGCAUCAAUUUGAUUUUAACUUCUUAAUUAUUGCAGAAAUAACGUUUGCCACCUAAAAUUGAACUAUUUCCUAUCAUGUUGUUUUCUCAUUUUUCACUUAAGAUUAGAUUACCUGUAAGAAUUUGUGAGAUCUGAGAAUAAUAAUCUUUUUUGAGUAAAUUACGGUUCCACCCAAGUGAUCUACGUUAUUUUUUGGUCAGCAAUGAUUUAUCACUGGUGUCUAUACUUAUUCUCAAUUUCAGUUUCAAGUCAUUACAUUUUUUAAUUUUGUGUGCUAUUUGUGUUUACCUAUGUUACUUAUCACUAUUAUGUUACUACGCAAAUACAUGAGUUUUUUUGAUAG